This 399-nucleotide ribosomal RNA is filed under the name uncultured bacterium. RNAcentral describes it as "bacterial SSU rRNA". It matches the Rfam family "Bacterial small subunit ribosomal RNA", at positions 478 to 874 of the family's 1533-position model. The record is from RNAcentral.
CCUGNAGAAUAAGCUCCGGCUAACUCCGUGCCAGCAGCCGCGGUAAUACGGAGGGAGCUAGCGUUGUUCGGAAUUACUGGGCGUAAAGCGUGCGUAGGCGGUUAUUCAAGUCAGAGGUGAAAGCCUGGAGCUCAACUCCAGAACGGCCUUUGAAACUAGGUAACUAGAAUCUUGGAGAGGUGAGUGGAAUUCCGAGUGUAGAGGUGAAAUUCGUAGAUAUUCGGAAGAACACCAGUGGCGAAGGCGACUCACUGGACAAGUAUUGACGCUGAGGUACGAAAGCGUGGGGAGCAAACANGGAUUAGAUACCCUGGUAGUCCACGCCGUAAACGAUGAUAACUAGCUGUUCGGGCUCNUCAGAGCUUGAGUGGCGCAGCUAACGCAUUAAGUUAUCCGCCU